UUCUUCAAGGAACGGCUGGAGGCUUGGAACCGGAUGGGUUUCCUUCGAUUUUUUUCUCCUCUUCGUCUUCUUCGGCUGCAGCUGGAAGAGAACCGGCUUGGGAAGAAGAACCGGCUUGGGAGGAAGAUGACUCGUCGGCUGGGAGGAAGAUGACUCGUCGGCUGGGAGGAUGACUCGUCGGCUGGGAGGAAGAUGACUCGUCGGCUGGGAGGAAGAUGACUCGUCGGCUGGGAAAGAUGACUCGUCGGCUGGGAGGAAGAUGACUCGUCGGCUGGGGAAGAUGACUCGUCGGCUGGGAGGAACCACCUUGCAAUCUAAUUUGGGAGGAACCGCCUUGCUUCUUUGAGUUGGGAAGACGUGGCCGGCUGGGAGUUCAGGGAAACCGGGAUGUGAUGUGGGUCUUCCCAUCGGCAGGCUUGGUGUCACCUGAUGGAGUCUUAACUACCAUGGAAUCUCAUUGGAUGAGGUGAACCGGGUGGUAGUUCUUUGGCUGGUUUAUUUUGUAUGUGGACUUUAUUAUGACAUGGACUCAAUACUACUUAGGCUGGAACGACAUUGACUUGACUCAACAUUACUUGAACUGGACUUGAAUUGGAUUGGACCUGACACGAACUUGACUUAAAUAAAUAACUAGAGAAAUAAAAAUAAAAACUGGACGACACAAGAAAUGUGGACUAGCAGUCAAGCCAAAGUGAUACUGGCUCAU
This 706-nucleotide long non-coding RNA is filed under the name Phoenix dactylifera (date palm). Its description in RNAcentral is "long non-coding RNA (PDAC_LNC018987)". The record is from RNAcentral. Lineage: Eukaryota; Viridiplantae; Streptophyta; Magnoliopsida; Arecales; Arecaceae.